This 253-nucleotide ribosomal RNA is filed under the name uncultured bacterium. RNAcentral's name for it is "partial 16S ribosomal RNA". It matches the Rfam family "Bacterial small subunit ribosomal RNA", at positions 524 to 776 of the family's 1533-position model. The record is from RNAcentral.
UACGUAGGGUGCAAGCGUUGUCCGGAAUUAUUGGGCGUAAAGAGCUCGUAGGCGGUUCGUCGCGUCGGCUGUGAAAACCUGAGGCUCAACCUCAGGCCUGCAGUCGAUACGGGCAGACUAGAGUGCGGUAGGGGAGACUGGAAUUCCACGUGUAGCAGUGAAAUGCGUAGAGAUGUGGAGGAACACCGAUGGCGAAGGCGGCGACCUGGGCCAAUAUUGACGCUGGAGGUGCGAAAGCGUGGGAGCAAACAGG